GGGGGCGAACUGGGCUCGACGGGAGUAAGUGAGGUCGAGGUCGCAUGCCGAGCACCCAUCUGCUCGUAAAACGGUGGGAAAAUACAACUGCCAACACGGUAGAAUACGCCCUGGCCGCCUAGAGCGGCCAGCGUCCUUCCCCUUCUUGCCUACGGGAGAGAGUAAGGGCGUCGACUGAGUGGGCUGGCGCCUGAUCUAUCGCCCGAAAGGAUCGGGAGCGAGAAUCAUCCGGGCUAGCCUCGAUAGACCCUGCCUGCGGGGGCUGGAGAGGCGAAAUUCAAAGCGCGGGCUAAGCAUGUAGGGGCCUCAGGCUGAAGGCUUUCGGACGCGGGUUCGAUUCCCGCCGCCUCCACCA
Molecule: transfer-messenger RNA, 355 nt
Filed under: bacterium
Lineage: Bacteria
Also listed under: 1 other name
Description: JACOWJ01 sp016176845 Standard tmRNA
Rfam family: transfer-messenger RNA
About the family: Bacterial tmRNA, also known as 10Sa RNA or SsrA, is named for its dual tRNA and mRNA-like properties.
Source: RNAcentral